This 458-nucleotide long non-coding RNA is filed under the name Nicotiana benthamiana. RNAcentral's name for it is "long non-coding RNA (NBEN_LNC032005)". Lineage: Eukaryota; Viridiplantae; Streptophyta; Magnoliopsida; Solanales; Solanaceae. The record is from RNAcentral.
UGGAAAGGCAAGACUCAGUAUGCCAUAUUUUAGAGGGCUCUCAAGAGGAUCCCAAGGCAGUACACAUACUAGAGGAGGGAGAACUUAUUGCCUAAGAGUAAAGUGAAAGUGAAGGAAACACGUUGAAAAAAGGUUUAUUAAAGACUGUAUUAGAUAGUCUAUUUUAAAAGUAAUUAGUAAAGUAACAAAGAUUGUUUGAAAAAGAGGUUGGAGUAGUAAACAAAGUUCAAGCACCUCAGGAUAGGAUCAUAUACAUCUAGUUCAUAGAACCAAGUCAGUUUAGUAGUCACACAGGGGUCAAGGGGUUUGGGCAAAUAGACAUUGGGCUGCAAACACAUAAUCCAACAAGGUUAGGACUAAUUUGGACAUGCUUAAAAAUAGCUGACACUGGCAUAGUCACAAAAUCAGUCAUGAAGAACACAAACACAUAGAGAGAUGGUACCGAGUUGGGAAUCCAU